Molecule: ribosomal RNA, 378 nt
Filed under: uncultured bacterium
Lineage: Bacteria
Description: bacterial SSU rRNA
Rfam family: Bacterial small subunit ribosomal RNA
Source: RNAcentral
UAAUACGGAGGGUGCAAGCGUUGUUCGGAAUUAUUGGGCGUAAAGGGCGUGUAGGUGGCAGUCCAAGUCUGGUGUGAAAGCCCACGGCUCAACCGUGGAACUGCAUUGGAAACUGGGCAGCUCGAGUGUUGGAGGGGGUCGCGGAAUUCCCGGUGUAGAGGUGAAAUUCGUAGAUAUCGGGAGGAACACCAGUGGCGAAGGCGGCGACCUGGCCAAUCACUGACACUGAGACGCGAAAGCGUGGGGAGCAAACAGGAUUAGAUACCCUGGUAGUCCACGCCGUAAACGAUGGGUGCUAGCCAUAUCGGGUGUUGACCCUUAGGUGUGGCGAAGCCAACGCGUUAAGCACCCCGCCUGGGGAGUACGGUCGCAAGAUUA